Molecule: ribosomal RNA, 253 nt
Filed under: uncultured bacterium
Lineage: Bacteria
Description: partial 16S ribosomal RNA
Rfam family: Bacterial small subunit ribosomal RNA
Source: RNAcentral
UACGUAGGGAGCAAGCGUUGUCCGGAAUCAUUGGGCGUAAAGGGCUCGUAGGCGGUUUGUCGCGUCGGGAGUGAAAACGCCGUGCUUAACACGGCGCUUGCUUUCGAUACGGGCAGACUAGAGGUAUUCAGGGGAGAACGGAAUUCCUGGUGUAGCGGUGAAAUGCGCAGAUAUCAGGAGGAACACCGGUGGCGAAGGCGGUUCUCUGGGAAUGACCUGACGCUGAGGAGCGAAAGUGUGGGGAGCGAACAGG